This 220-nucleotide unclassified non-coding RNA is filed under the name plant metagenome. Its description in RNAcentral is "partial contains small subunit ribosomal RNA, internal transcribed spacer 1, and 5.8S ribosomal RNA". The record is from RNAcentral.
UCUCCGUAGGUGAACCUGCGGAGGGAUCAUUACAGAGUUCGUGCCCUCACGGGUAGAUCUCCCACCCUGUGUUAUUAUACCUUUGUUGCUUUGGCGGGCCGCCCUCGGCUACCGGCCCCGGCUGGUACGCGCCCGCCAGAGGACCCCAAACUCUGAAUGUUAGUGUCGUCUGAGUACUAUACAUUAGUUAAAACUUUCAACAACGGAUCUCUUGGUUCUG